RNAcentral lists this ribosomal RNA (868 nucleotides) under uncultured archaeon. RNAcentral's name for it is "bacterial SSU rRNA". It matches the Rfam family "Archaeal small subunit ribosomal RNA", at positions 1 to 878 of the family's 1478-position model. The record is from RNAcentral.
CUCCGGUUGAUCCUGCCGGACCCGACUGCUAUCAGAGUGGGACUAAGCCAUGCGAGUCAACAUAGCAAUAUGUGGCAUACGGCUCAGUAACACGUAGUCAACAUGCCCAGGGGACGUGGAUAACCUCGGGAAACUGAGGAUAAACCGCGAUAAGUCACUACUUCUGGAAUGGGUAAUGACUCAAAUCUACAUGGCCCCUGGAUUGGACUGCGGCCGAUCAGGCUGUUGGUGAGGUAAUGGCCCACCAAACCUGUAACCGGUACGGGCUCUGAGAGGAGGAGCCCGGAGAUGGGCACUGAGACAAGGGCCCAGGCCCUAUGGGGCGCAGCAGGCGCGAAACCUCUGCAAUAGGCGAAAGCCUGACAGGGUUACUCUGAGUGAUUUCCGUUAAGGAGAUCUUUUGGCACCUCUAAAAAUGGUGCAGAAUAAGGGGUGGGCAAGUCUGGUGUCAGCCGCCGCGGUAAUACCAGCACCCCGAGUGGUCGGGACGUUUAUUGGGCCUAAAGCAUCCGUAGCCGGUUCUACAAGUCUUCCGUUAAAUCCACCUGCUUAACAGAUGGGCUGCGGAAGAUACUAUAGAGCUAGGAGGCGGGAGAGGCAAGCGGUACUCGAUGGGUAGGGGUAAAAUCCGUUGAUCCAUUGAAGACCACCAGUGGCGAAGGCGGUCUACCAGAACGCGUUCGACGGUGAGGGAUGAAAGCUGGGGGAGCAAACCGGAUUAGAUACCCGGGUAGUCCCAGCUGUAAACGAUGCAAACUCGGUGAUGCAUUGGCUUAUGGCCAAUGCAGUGCCGCAGGGAAGCCGUUAAGUUUGCCGCCUGGGAAGUACGGACGCAAGUCUGAAACUUAAAGGAAUUGGCGGGGGAGCA